CAAAAAGUUCAAAGCUUUAGUUAAAAAGAAAAGUGGAUGUACAAGUAAGACUUUGAGGUCAGAUAAUGGCAAAGAAUAUACCUCUACUGAAUUUGAGAAAUUUUGUGAAGAGUUUAGAAUAGUUCACCAUUUGAUUGUAUUUUACUCACGAUAGCAAAAAGGUGUUUCAGAGAGGAAAAAUAUAACCAUUGUUGAAACUGCCAGGUGUAUGUUGAAGGAGAAAUCCAAAAGAGAUUUAGACUGAGGUUGUUUAUACAUUAACUUAUUUAUUGAACAAGCUAACCACAAGGUCGGUUAAUGGAAUGAAACUAAUAAAAACUUGGUUUGGAUCAAAAUAUUAAGCUAAACAUCUAAAAGUAUUUGGUUCAAUAGGUCAUAUGCAUGUUCUCAAUGUUAAAAGAAGUAAACUUGAUGAGAAGGUGGAGUUAGGCAUUUUCUUGCGGUAUGCAGCUCAAUACAAAGGUUACAGACUUUAUAUAGCGAAAAUGUAAAAAGUAGCAAAAACGUAAAGAUGUUCAAUUUGAUGAGGAUGCCCUUUGUAACUAGAAUGAGCAAAAGAUUAUGAAGAAGCAUGUCUUAAUUCAUAAGGCAAACUAUUUUAGCAAUAUACAUGGGAGGCUAGUUGAUGGAAAAUCAACAAGAACAAAAAAAUCCUAGGAAUGUUCGUGAGAUGA
This 674-nucleotide unclassified non-coding RNA is filed under the name Hevea brasiliensis (rubber tree). The record is from RNAcentral. Lineage: Eukaryota; Viridiplantae; Streptophyta; Magnoliopsida; Malpighiales; Euphorbiaceae.